This 548-nucleotide ribosomal RNA is filed under the name uncultured eukaryote. Its description in RNAcentral is "SSU rRNA". It matches the Rfam family "Eukaryotic small subunit ribosomal RNA", at positions 21 to 570 of the family's 1831-position model. The record is from RNAcentral.
UGUAGUCAUAUGCUUGUCUCAAAGAUUAAGCCAUGCAUGUCUAAGUAUAAGCAAUCUAUACUGUGAAACUGCGAAUGGCUCAUUAAAUCAGUUAUCGUUUAUUUGAUAGUACCUUACUACUUGGAUAACCGUGGUAAUUCUAGAGCUAAUACAUGCUAAAAACCCCGACUUUUGGAGGGGUGUAUUUAUUAGAUAAAAAACCAAUGCCCUUCGGGGCUCCUUGGUGAUUCAUAAUAACUUAACGAAUCGCAUGGCCUUGUGCCGGCGAUGGUUCAUUCAAAUUUCUGCCCUAUCAACUUUCGAUGGUUAGGUCUUGGCUAACCAUGGUUUCAACGGGUAACGGGGAAUUAGGGUUCUAUUCCGGAGAGUGAGCCUGAGAAACGGCUAACACAUCCAAGGAAGGCAGCAGGCGCGCAAAUUACCCAAUCCCGACACGGGGAGGUAGUGACAAUAAAUACUGAUCCAGGGCUCUUUUGGGUCUUGGAAUUGGAAUGAGUACAAUUUAAAUCCCUUAACGAGGAACAAUUGGAGGGCAAGUCUGGUAAUCG